AGACUAAGAUGAAAUUGGUCUAAUAAUAUGUUGCUGUCUUUUGGUAACAAAGUUUCUAUCGAUUUUAUCCAAGAAAGCAUAGUAUCAGUCGCUGUAUCUGAAAUCAAUAUUAAAAUGUUUUAAUAUUAUUUAUAUCUUGUGAUACCUGCACUAUGUAAACUUUCAUGUUUUUAUUUAAUUUUUCAACAUUCCAUUCUACGUUCUACAUUAGGGAUGGCAAAUAAGAUUUAAUCUACGUACCAAAAUAAUGUAACAUUUAUUGUGAUCUUUUUCAUUCAGUUUCAUCGACCUUGUAUUUAUGAUUGCAUUGAAUGACCUGUCCCUUGAAAUGAAAUUUGAUUGAACAUAUUUUGUAUAUGUGCAGCGAGUAUCAUCAACAAUUGCUCCCGUGUCAAGGUCAGCACAUGUUCCACUUAUUUGCCAUCCCUGUUUUACAUUUCAAAAUUUUUCUACAAAAAUGUAUCAAUUACAAUUAAUGUAAAUCAACGUUGACCAAUUGCCACGUUCGUGUUUAAAACUUCUAAUCCUUCCAUUAUGUUCUGACGGGUUAUCAAUUUUUUCUUCAUGAUGAGGAACACCUUUCCACGACAGAAUACUUUCAGCGCAGAUUUCUGUAUUAGAUGAAGAAAAGAAAA
This 635-nucleotide long non-coding RNA is filed under the name Polistes fuscatus (common paper wasp). Its description in RNAcentral is "uncharacterized LOC122521355". Lineage: Eukaryota; Metazoa; Arthropoda; Insecta; Hymenoptera; Vespidae. The record is from RNAcentral.